Molecule: ribosomal RNA, 590 nt
Filed under: uncultured bacterium
Lineage: Bacteria
Description: bacterial SSU rRNA
Rfam family: Bacterial small subunit ribosomal RNA
Source: RNAcentral
AGAGUUUGAUCCUGGCUCAGAUUGAACGCUGGCGGCAUGCCUUACACAUGCAAGUCGAACGGUAACAGGUCUUCGGAUGCUGACGAGUGGCGAACGGGUGAGUAAUGCAUCGGAACGUGCCCAGUCGUGGGGGAUAACUGCUCGAAAGAGCAGCUAAUACCGCAUACGACCUGAGGGUGAAAGCGGGGGACCGUAAGGCCUCGCGCGAUUGGAGCGGCCGAUGUCAGAUUAGGUAGUUGGUGGGGUAAAGGCUCACCAAGCCAACGAUCUGUAGCUGGUCUGAGAGGACGACCAGCCACACUGGGACUGAGACACGGCCCAGACUCCUACGGGAGGCAGCAGUGGGGAAUUUUGGACAAUGGGCGCAAGCCUGAUCCAGCCAUGCCGCGUGCGGGAAGAAGGCCUUCGGGUUGUAAACCGCUUUUGUCAGGGAAGAAAAGGCUCCUGCUAAUACCGGGGGCUCAUGACGGUACCUGAAGAAUAAGCACCGGCUAACUACGUGCCAGCAGCCGCGGUAAUACGUAGGGUGCAAGCGUUAAUCGGAAUUACUGGGCGUAAAGCGUGCGCAGGCGGUUAUGCAAGACAGAGGU